UGCAUAAAUCAAGCGUUU
Molecule: ribosomal RNA, 18 nt
Filed under: uncultured alpha proteobacterium MB13H04
Lineage: Bacteria; Pseudomonadati; Pseudomonadota; Alphaproteobacteria; Candidatus Pelagibacterales
Description: partial 23S ribosomal RNA
Source: RNAcentral